Alosa alosa (allis shad) is the source of this 208-nucleotide long non-coding RNA. RefSeq lists it as uncharacterized. The transcript is spliced from 3 exons. NCBI's taxonomy places the organism in Eukaryota, Metazoa, Chordata, Actinopteri, Clupeiformes, Clupeidae. The record is from RefSeq and is a predicted model, not a curated record.
GUUGGGUGACCAGGUAGAGUAUAAGACAAGCAGUCCUGAAGCUGAAUAUGCCUGCAAUCUGGUUGUACUGACAGAUGCCAGUCUUCAACAAUGUGGGCAAAUAGGAGCUUUUGAAUAUGUGGUGGGACAAGCCGUGAUUAAUACUGAGGGAGAAGAGAAGACACGCAGAAUGGAAACAGAGUUUUCAGACCCCUCGAUUUGGAUGAGG